GUGAGUGUAGCUCAAUGGUAGAGCGCCGGACUGUGGCUCCGGAUGUUGCGGGUUCAAUCCCCGUCACUCACCCCA
Molecule: transfer RNA, 75 nt
Filed under: Alphaproteobacteria bacterium
Lineage: Bacteria; Pseudomonadati; Pseudomonadota; Alphaproteobacteria
Also listed under: 3 other names
Description: tRNA-His
Rfam family: tRNA
About the family: Transfer RNA (tRNA) molecules are approximately 80 nucleotides in length. Their secondary structure includes four short double-helical elements and three loops (D, anti-codon, and T loops). Further hydrogen bonds mediate the characteristic L-shaped molecular structure. tRNAs have two regions of fundamental functional importance: the anti-codon, which is responsible for specific mRNA codon recognition, and the 3' end, to which the tRNAs corresponding amino acid is attached (by aminoacyl-tRNA synthetases). tRNAs cope with the degeneracy of the genetic code in two manners: having more than one tRNA (with a specific anti-codon) for a particular amino acid; and 'wobble' base-pairing, i.e. permitting non-standard base-pairing at the 3rd anti-codon position.
Source: RNAcentral